GAUGAACGCUGGCGGCGUGCUUAACACAUGCAAGUCGAACGAAGCAUUUAAGACAGAUUACUUCGGUUUGAAGUCUUUUAUGACUGAGUGGCGGACGGGUGAGUAACGCGUGGGUAACCUGCCUCAUACAGGGGGAUAGCAGCUGGAAACGGCUGGUAAUACCGCAUAAGCGCACAGUACCACAUGGUACAGUGUGAAAAACUCCGGUGGUAUGAGAUGGACCCGCGUCUGAUUAGCUUGUUGGCGGGGUAACGGCCCACCAAGGCGACGAUCAGUAGCCGACCUGAGAGGGUGACCGGCCACAUUGGGACUGAGACACGGCCCAGACUCCUACGGGAGGCAGCAGUGGGGAAUAUUGCACAAUGGAGGAAACUCUGAUGCAGCGACGCCGCGUGAGUGAAGAAGUAGUUCGCUAUGUAAAGCUCUAUCAGCAAGGAAGAUAGUGACGGUACCUGACUAAGAAGCUCCGGCUAAAUACGUG
This 481-nucleotide ribosomal RNA is filed under the name uncultured bacterium. Its description in RNAcentral is "partial 16S ribosomal RNA". It matches the Rfam family "Bacterial small subunit ribosomal RNA", at positions 28 to 507 of the family's 1533-position model. The record is from RNAcentral.